Molecule: ribosomal RNA, 2837 nt
Filed under: Plasmodium ovale (malaria parasite P. ovale)
Lineage: Eukaryota; Apicomplexa; Aconoidasida; Haemosporida; Plasmodiidae
Description: eukaryotic LSU rRNA
Rfam family: Eukaryotic large subunit ribosomal RNA
Source: RNAcentral
UAGUCAUAUGUUAGGAGGGCAUAUCCGCCGAAUUUAAGCAUAUAAUUAAGCGGAAGAAAAGAAAAUAACUAUGAUUCCUUAAGUAACGGCGAGUGAACAAGGAUUAGCUCAAUGGGAAAAUCCAGCUUCUCACGAAAGUGAAGAGCUUGAAUUGUCCAGUUUUCGAAAUUCAUCCAAUUAUCUUCCAUAAUAGAAGCGAAGUAAGCAGGAAUGCUUCUCCUUAGAGGGUGAAAGGCCCGUAGUUUUCUUUUAUUUUUGAUUUUUGGUUGUCUUUCUUUUGAGUCGUGUUCUUUGAGAUUGGAGCACUAAUUUGUGUGAUACAUUUCACAUAAAGCUAAAUAUGUGUAGGAGACCGAUAGCAAACAAGUACCGUGAGGGAAAGAUGAAAUAGCACUCAGGAAUGAGCAAUUAAAUAGUACCUGAAAUCGUUAAGGUGGAACGGAUUAAGAGAGAAAACAAGUAAGAAGGGCAUGAUUCCUUUUUUUUGGAUUCUUUUCCUUUCUUAUUAAAAGAAACAUCAGUGAGCUAGGAUAAUUAAGAUAAAGUAAUACCUGAAAUUAGUUAAUUACUAUUUUAACUUUUCUCAUUUCUUCCCCACACUAAUGAGGGGAAAAAUUACUUUAUAUUUUUCUUAAAUCUAAAAAUUAUUCCAUUUACUGAGGUCUUUUUAAACAUGGUUUGAAUUCUUUUCUUUCCAUUUAAGUUGUUUCUAAACAGUACUUUCUUAACCCACUCGUCUUGAAACACGGACCAAGGAGUCUAGCAAAUGUGCGAGCGCGUAUGAUUUUAAUUAAACAUUUUAAUUUUCUUCUACGCAUAAUUAAUGUAAUACCUUAUUUUUGGUAGAUUAAGGGGAUGGGAAACUUUCCUUCUUAUGCAUACCAUACCGGUUGGCGAUAUAAUGCUUUAUUGAGUAUUAGCAUAUUUGGUAGGACCCGAGAGGCUUUGAACUAAGCGUGACGAGAUCGAAGUCAGACGAAAGUCUGAUGGAAGAUUGAAUUGAUACUGACGUGCAAAUCGUUCUUUUCAGUCACGUUUAGGGGCGAAAGACUAAUCGAAAAGCCUAUUAGCUGGUUAUUUUCGAAAGAUCUCUCAGGAUCGCUGGAGUUGAUUAAUAUAAUUUUACCAGGUAGAGAUAAUGAUUAGAGGAAUCAGGGAAAUCGUUUUCCUUGACCUAUUCUCAAACUCCCAAUGGGUAAAAAGAUUAAAAUAACUUUCUUGUAUUUUAAUCAUAUUUUUCUUUCAAAAUAAGAUAACUCCAAGUGGGCCAUUUUUGGUAAGCAGAACUGGCGAUGAGGGAUGCUCCUAACGCUUGGAUAAGGUGCCUAAAUAUUCGCUCAUGAGAUCCCAUAAAAGGUGUUGGUUCAUAAUGACAGUAGGACGGUGGUCAUGGAAGUCGAAAUCCGCUAAGGAGUGUGUAACAACUCACCUACCGAAUGAACUAGCCCUGAAAAUGGAUGGCGCUAAAGCGAAUUACCAAUACCAAGCCAUAGAAAGAACUUCAAAUUCGUAGUAAAUUUCUUUUUAUUAUGUAAUUUCUGUUAUCUUUCUAUGAGUAGAAAAUCGUGGGGUUUGUGUUGAAGCGAGAUACGUGAGUUCUUGUGGAACAUAUCCCUAGUGCAGAUCUUGGUGGAAGUAGCAAUUAUUCAAAUGAGAACUUUGAAGACUGAAGUGGAGAAGGGUUUCUUGUCAACUGUGAUUGUACAAGAGUUAGCCGCUCCUAAGGGAUAGCUGAAAAGUGUUUAUUUGGGUAUGUUUUAACGCGUUAACUACGUGUGCAUCUCUUUCUCGAAAGGGAAACAGGUUGAUAUUCCUGUGCCAAUGUAUUUUGAGUAAUAUUAAAGAUGGUAACAUAUAUAUAAAUGAACUCCUUCACGUAGGCCUUACGCUCGGGGUGCGUUUUCUUUGCACUUUACCUCUAUAGCUAACCUUGGAAUCAAUUUACUUGGAGAAAAGGUUCGCCGAAACAAUUCAGGAGAGCUUCUUAGUGAAACUUCUGUUUUGCUUUUUUGCUUUCCUGUUUUGUAGUAAAAGUAAUUCGUUUUUAUGAAUUAUCCGAAGUUGUAAGGACUACCCUUGAAAAAAGGAGGGAACAGCGAUUGGAAUGGGAAAAGUUCUGGUUCGCUUUUACUUUUUACAUUCCUUUUGUUAUACUCUGAAUAUCUGUAUGAGCGUACCGACAACCGCAUCAGGUCUCCAAGGUUAAUAGCCUCUGGUUAAGUAGAAAAAAGUAGGUAAGGGAAGUCGGCAAAAUAGAUCCGUAACUUCGGGAAAAGGAUUGGCUCUGAGGACAUUAGAAUAGAGAAGAAAGGAAAAUGUUUGAAAAUAAAGAUAUGGAUUUAUAUAUUUCUUUCAGAAUUCGUUCUGUUUACGUCUUAUAUAUUUCCUUAUUUUGUUUUUCUUAUGUUUCUCUUUCUCCCCCUCUAUUCGCCUUCAUUUGUACUUUUGCGUUUCGGCGUUUUUAGUACUCUUGAUACUUAUAUUGUUAACUCAGAACUGAAACGGACAAAGGGAAUCCGACUGUUUAAUUAAAACAUAGCAUUGUGACAAGCCAUAACUGGUAUUAACACAAUGUGAUUUCUGCCCAGUGCUUUGAAUGUCAACUUGAUGAAAUUCAAUCAAGCGCAGGUAAACGGCGGGAGUAACUAUGACUCUCUUAAGGUAGCCAAAUGCCUCGUCAUCUAAUUAGUGACGCGCAUGAAUGGAUUAACGAGAUUCCCACUGUCCCUACUUGCUAUCUAGCGAAACCACAGCCAAGGGAACGGGCUUGGCAUAAUCAGCGGGGAAAGAAGACCCUGUUGAGCUUUACUCUAGUCUGGCUUUGUGAAACGACUUAA